AAAUUUAUUUCUCUGUUCCGUCAAACGCCUUAUCAUUUGGUUUGGAAAUAAGUUAUUUUAGCUUAUUCCUGUUAUAGGAACAACUCUUGGGAUAACCAAUAACAAGAUCAAUUUUAUUUUUGGAUGAAAAUUGAGUUAUUCUCAAAAAUUUAAUAAUAAUUUAACUUAUUUAAUUAACUAAUUAAUCAUGAAUACAGCUAGAUAACACUUAAUAUUAAUUAAUAAAAUAAUUAACAAUAAGUACUAUUAAUUAAUAAUUUAAUGAAUCAUAGUUAAUUUAAUAAUUAAUAAAUUAAUUAGUUAAUUAGUUAAUAUUUAGAUAAUUUGUUAAUAAAAUAAUUAGAUUAGCCAAAAUAUUAAUUCGUUAAUCAAGAUAAAUAUUAAAUAUUGCAUAAACAUCAUAAUUAAUUAAUUAUUUAUUUAUAUAAUUAAUUAUAAAUAAUAAAUAAUUAAUUAUUUUAUUAUUUAAACAAUAGAUAUUGACUUAAAUAUAUUAACUAGAUUAAUUAGUUAUUUAAUACUUUAAUUAAAAUUAGAUUUAGACUUUAAUUGUAACACACCGGAUUUUUAAUUUAAAAGUGAAUAUAAAUAAAAAUAGUGUGAGAUACUAUUUUUAUUGGAUUUAAAGAAGUAAAAUAUAAGUCUGGAAUGACUCGUGUUGAAAUCGGAACGAAAACAGAAGAUUUAGAAUUUUCUGUGCGAAAUGGGACUGAUAUUUUAGUAGAAAAUGCACAGUGUCAGAAAAUUAUGAAAACUGGAGAAUAAUGUCAGAAUUAUUUUUAUGAGGGUAGAUGUCACGCCCCGGGCCCCAGCGGAAGCCCGCCCGGCACGUGCACAGACCCGCCAUACGUCUAAAACAUAUAAGGCGUCUACUAACAACAAUAAUAAAAGCAAUAACAAAAGACAUCUAGAAGUAUCAGAGCAUAAUAAAUGUCUAAAUGCUACAACAAGGGAUAAAGAUAAAACUGUAAAUCCACUAAAUAAAACAUAAAGUGAUACAAGCAGAUCCCAGAUACAAGUGCUAAAAGUAGGUACAUAGGUGGUUUCUAUACAUGGACACAAAACCUCUCGCUCUCUCAGCUACAAAAAGAAAGAGCAAUCCACCUAGGCAAAGUACCGCUCCUCGCUAGCUAGCUACGCGAUCCCCUUGCCGCGAUCCCGUGCCUCCGCCGGUGCCGAAGGCUUUGAAAAGUAAACCAUAAAAC
This 1205-nucleotide long non-coding RNA is filed under the name Ananas comosus (pineapple). RNAcentral describes it as "long non-coding RNA (ACOM_LNC026064)". Lineage: Eukaryota; Viridiplantae; Streptophyta; Magnoliopsida; Poales; Bromeliaceae. The record is from RNAcentral.